UAGGGAAUCUUCCGCAAUGGACGCAAGUCUGACGGAGCAACGCCGCGUGAGUGAAGAAGGAUUUCGGUUCGUAAAACUCUGUUGUUAGAGAAGAACAGCGCAUAGAGUAACUGUUAUGCGUGUGACGGUAUCUAACCAGAAAGCCACGGCUAACUACGUGCCAGCAGCCGCGGUAAUACGUAGGUGGCAAGCGUUGUCCGGAUUUAUUGGGCGUAAAGCGAGCGCAGGCGGUCAAUUAAGUCUGAUGUGAAAGCCCCCGGCUCAACCGGGGAGGGUCAUUGGAAACUGGUUGCAGUGAGUGCAGAAGAGGAGAGUGGAAUUCCAUGUGGAGCUGUGAAAUGCGUAGAUAUAUGGAAGAACACCAGUGGCGAAGGCGACUCUCUGGUCUAUAACUGACGCUGAGGCUAGAAAGCGUGGGUAGCAAACAGG
This 429-nucleotide ribosomal RNA is filed under the name Bacteroidota bacterium. Its description in RNAcentral is "Bacteroidetes bacterium partial 16S ribosomal RNA". It matches the Rfam family "Bacterial small subunit ribosomal RNA", at positions 355 to 776 of the family's 1533-position model. The record is from RNAcentral. Lineage: Bacteria; Pseudomonadati; Bacteroidota.